GAUGAACGCUGGCUACAGGCUUAACACAUGCAAGUCGAGGGGAAACGACGGGGAAGCUUGCUUCCCCGGGCGUCGACCGGCGCACGGGUGAGUAACGCGUAUCCAACCUGCCUCUGACUGAGGGAUAACCCGUCGAAAGUCGGCCUAAUACCUCAUGGCAUCGUCUGCGGGCAUCCAACGACGAUUAAAGAUUUCAUCGGUCAGGGAUGGGGAUGCGUCUGAUUAGCUUGUUGGCGGGGUAACGGCCCACCAAGGCUACGAUCAGUAGGGGUUCUGAGAGGAAGGUCCCCCACAUUGGAACUGAGACACGGUCCAAACUCCUACGGGAGGCAGCAGUGAGGAAGAGUGGUCAAUGGGCGGGAGCCUGAACCAGCCAAGUAGCGUGCAGGAUGACGGCCCUAUGGGUUGUAAACUGCUUUUAUGCGGGGAUAAAGUGAGGGACGUGUCCUUCAUUGCAGGUACCGCAUGAAUAAGGACCGGCUAAUUCCGUG
Molecule: ribosomal RNA, 491 nt
Filed under: uncultured bacterium
Lineage: Bacteria
Description: partial 16S ribosomal RNA
Rfam family: Bacterial small subunit ribosomal RNA
Source: RNAcentral